GAACCAUGUAUAGGACAUUUUCUAAGUAAUUCAUUAAAUCUUUCCCAGGCUUCGUAAAAUGUUUCAUCUUUUGAUUUUCGAAAAGAUGUGAUGUCAUUUCUAAGCUU
Molecule: small nucleolar RNA, 107 nt
Filed under: Gossypium hirsutum (cotton)
Lineage: Eukaryota; Viridiplantae; Streptophyta; Magnoliopsida; Malvales; Malvaceae
Description: Plant small nucleolar RNA R71
Rfam family: Plant small nucleolar RNA R71
About the family: R71 is a member of the C/D box family of snoRNAs containing the C (UGAUGA) and D (CUGA) box motifs. Multiple nearly identical copies of this snoRNA have been identified in Arabidopsis, and it is thought to function as a 2'-O-ribose methylation guide for 18S ribosomal RNA.
Source: Rfam by way of RNAcentral